This 301-nucleotide ribosomal RNA is filed under the name uncultured eukaryote. Its description in RNAcentral is "partial 18S ribosomal RNA". It matches the Rfam family "Eukaryotic small subunit ribosomal RNA", at positions 1470 to 1796 of the family's 1831-position model. The record is from RNAcentral.
CCCUUAGAUGUCCUGGGCCGCACGCGCGUUACACUGAUGCAUUCAACGAGCUUAUAACCUUGGCCGAGAGGCCUGGGCAAUCUUGUUAACGUGCAUCGUGAUAGGGAUAGAUUAUUGAAAUUAUUAAUCUUGAACGAGGAAUUCCUAGUAAACGCAGAUCAUCAAUCUGCAUUGAUUACGUCCCUGCCCUUUGUACACACCGCCCGUCGUUUCUUCCGACUGAUACGAAUUGUGAGUUGCAAGGACCUUCAGGGGGAAUUGCCGCGAAUGCUUCGUAUUGGAGGAAGAAAAAGUCGUAACA